UUGGUUGAUGUUUCGUCUUUA
Non-coding RNA from Caenorhabditis elegans, 21 nucleotides. The record is from Ensembl. Lineage: Eukaryota; Metazoa; Nematoda; Chromadorea; Rhabditida; Rhabditidae.